AAAAUCAAAAUAUAAACAUUACAGAAAAUAAAAGUAGUGUUGUAAAUGUAAAUGUAGAAGCAAAUAAAAAUACAAGAAAAAAUAUAAAUACACGAGAGUAUACAAACAUGGUUAAAAGUACUAGUGUAGAUAAAAACAGUAUACAUAUUAAAGCACAGGAUUAUUAUAUGAAUAGGAAGGCGAGUAACACAUAUGAUUUAACAAAACAUACAAAAAUAAAUAAAAUGAAUUAUAGUAAUCUGAAACAUGUUCAUAUGGAUAAUGGCGUUAUUAACAAUGACAGUAUAAGUAAUGGUAAUUUGAACCACAAUAAUAAUAAUAAUAAUAAUAAUAAUAAUAUUAUUGUGCAGGAUAUAGAAACAAAUAAAACGUAUGAAUCAGAAACUAAUAAUAAUAAUAAUAAUAAUAAUAAUCAAACUGUUUAUUUAAAUAAUAAUUUUCAAAAAGUUUUAAACCCUCAAGACAUUCAAAAAUAUUCUUCCAUCUUAGAAAAACAUUCAAAUUCUAUGAAAGUUAUCGUAAUGAAUGGUAAUAGUGACAGUAAUAAUAGUAAUAUUAGUAUUAGUAAUACAAACUUUAGGAACAUUGAUAAUAAUAAUAAUGGUGUAAAUAAUACGAUUAACAUUUUAAAACCCACAGAAAAUACAAAUUCCCAAAAUGUUAACGAAAACCAUAUGAACAACUCACAUAAUUUUGAUCAAGAAAAAGCAUUUAAUAUAAAUCAACAAAACGCUAUCAACAAUCAUCCUUUUAAUGUAGUAAGUAGUAAUGAAUCAAAGAAUAAUUAUACCGACAUCAUAAACACACCAUUAAAUGUGCAUUUAGAACAUCCAGUAAAAAAUGAAAUGUAUAACACAGGUUUAAAAUACGUUUAUCCAAAUAAUAAAAGUGUUAAUAAUGAAAUGUAUGUAGAAAACAAUAAAAAUACUAGAUUUACACACAAACAUGUGUAUCCCGUUAACCCUACUAGUAAUACUAAUGGUUAUAGUAACACUAAUAGUUAUAGUAACACUAAUAGUUAUAGUAACACUAAUGGUUAUAGUAAUACGAAUAGCUAUAAUAAUACGAAUAGCUAUAGUAAUACGAAUAAUUGUAGUAAUAAUAAUGCUAAUAAAUUUUAUAACAUGUAUCUUAAUAAUAUUCCUAAUGUCGGGCAUAAUGGCGCUGCACUAAGUAGUACUACUAUAAACAAUCAAAAUAAUCCAAUUAAAAAAAGUGUUCACGAUAUGUAUGCCCCUAAUUAUACUACCACGGUCAUGUCUGAAAAACAAAAAAACAUACCAGUGUUAAAUAUUCAUAAAGAUAUGCAACAUAAUGGCGUUUAUUUUAACAGGGAUGAUUAUAAUUUAAAAAAUGCUUAUUAUGAUAAACCUUUAUAUAACUAAAUUAUAAAAGAUAAAAAAAAAAAAAAAAAAAAAAAAA
RNAcentral lists this long non-coding RNA (1422 nucleotides) under Piliocolobus tephrosceles (Ugandan red Colobus). RNAcentral's name for it is "lncRNA (ENSPTEG00000004165.1)". The record is from RNAcentral. Lineage: Eukaryota; Metazoa; Chordata; Mammalia; Primates; Cercopithecidae.